Long non-coding RNA from Sapajus apella (tufted capuchin), 1920 nucleotides. RefSeq lists it as uncharacterized. The transcript is spliced from 2 exons. The record is from RefSeq and is a predicted model, not a curated record. Lineage: Eukaryota; Metazoa; Chordata; Mammalia; Primates; Cebidae.
ACGCGCAACACACUCCCGUGCACACACGCGCGCUCGCACACACACACUGGCAGACACACGCCCAGCACGCGUCGCCCGGGGAGGAGAUCCGAGCGCGGCCCGGGAGGGAGCCCGGGGUCCCCGGCGCCUCCUGGCUCGGGUUGACAGACGCGGGUGCUCUGGAGAAGGUGCGCCAGACGCGCCUCGGGCCGGGACGAUCCCGCGGACUCCGCUCACCUUAAUGUUGCCGAAAACCGAGCGGGCACAGCGGCCGGCUCGGCUAGAAGAGGCGUCGCUGCCCUGGGGCUCGCCGAGCUUGGAUUUUUUACCACCAGGAUUCCAAGUGCGGAGAAGAGACAGUGAGGCUUCUAAAGGGAAGGAUAAGAAGGUUCUUCCAAAAGCCGCUGCAGUGAGGAAUCCAGCUCUGGAGGCAUUUUUCCAGCUCCCUCAUUCCUGUAGUCCCGUGCAGAGGGAACCUCUCCAAGCUCACCCCAAAUUCAGGAAAAGAUGCCGUCCAUUCCCAGGAAGUUUGGCUAAGACAAAGGCAGCAGGAUAGAUGGACCACAUGGGCUUCUUAUUUCUACCCAAGACCUGAUACCUUUCUGGGCCUGGUCUGGCCUGGGUCUGGGGGAUUUUCUCCACCUGCAACCCAAGGCCCCUCCACACGGCAGCAUUCCAAAGCUGCUGAACAGUGGGUGGCCUCUGGCCGCUUCACUCAGCCACAGAGCUUAGUGCAUUCAGACAGGCUUCCCACAGCCCGGCAGCAGCCCCAGCCCUAGCCCCAGGUCAGGCAUGAACUCCAGGUCCCAUCUGUCCACUGGGAGAACAUGGAACACAAGGACAGGUACCAGCAUGGAGCACUUGGUAUGUGCUAGGCGUGCCAGGCUCUCUGCUGAGCACCCACAUGCAUAAUUUCAUGAAGCCCCAACAUUAGCCCUAGAGGUCUAGGUGCUGUUACAGUCUGGACUCCACAGAAAAGGGUGCUAGAGUGGUCUGCUGAAAAAGCUGUCUGGAAGCCACACAGCUAGCAAGUGGUGGAGCUGGACCCUGAAUUCAGCCUUGCCUGACUCCAAAGCCCAGACCGGAAGUACUAUGCCUUCUGAUCAGUUGUCUGGUCCAACAGCUCCAUUUUGCAAGUUGAACUGAGCAGGGACCAGAAAACCCCCAGGCCAAGGUCACAGGCACCUUAGGGCUACCAUGGCUGGAGCUUCUUUCUCAAACUCUGAGGCCAAACUAUGAUCCUCUGGUAGAACCCCUGUGAGGAUCGGCCUCUCCAGCCCUCACCUAGUCCUGUUCUGUUAACCUGGCCCUCUGCCUCCCAUCAGUGCCAGCAUCAUCUCCAAAGGAAAAGCCUAUUCAGAAAUGCUCACAGAUGCUUAUCUUCCUUCAUUGACCUUUACUAGGUGGAGUUCAGCUAAAUGUAAUGGAGAGCCAACCAAAAUGACUUAAAUGAGAUUUAUUGGUCUCUCAUAAUAAGAAGGCUGCUAGUAGGUAGUCCAGGGGUCAGGACCCAGGCCUUUCAAGAUUCCUUAGCCUGCGGUUCCCAUCCCCAUGUCUGGCUCAUUGUCACAGGAUGGCUGCUCCAUCUCCAGCCUCCUCUCCUAAUUCCAGGAAAGAUGCAGAAGACAGGAAACAGGAAGGAGCCACGCUUACAUCAAGGGGGCAAAUCUCUCCCUUGCAUGCACAGCUGUUUUCCUUAAGUCUUGUUGGCCAAACCUGGGUCACAUAGCUAUCCCCUGCAAAGGAUGCUAAGAAGUACAGUUAACACUAUUGCUGUCCUCUGAACACAACUGGGAUUUUAUUAGAGAAAAGGGCAAAAAUAGUAGUGUUUUACAUUUUCAACACCUACAAAUGAAGUAACCCAUUUCCUUUCAAGAGCACCCCCAGACUUUCCACUUUCCAUCCUUAAAUUUCAGCAAAUAUUUCCUAACUCUGAAAAAA